This 321-nucleotide ribosomal RNA is filed under the name Triticum aestivum (bread wheat). RNAcentral describes it as "partial small subunit ribosomal RNA". Lineage: Eukaryota; Viridiplantae; Streptophyta; Magnoliopsida; Poales; Poaceae. The record is from RNAcentral.
AUGGACCCCGCCACGGAGGCCUUACCCUUAGCGGCAAUCGAGACGAACAUCGACCUUACCUUGCACGAGAGCCGUGUUGUUAAACUGCCGGACCCUUCUCCGGCCACAGACUCCGAACCGCCAGCGCCCGUUCCUAUCGAAUCUGAUUGGGUGCCGAUCAUGGAAUUUACCUCCAUGGAUAUUUUUCAGCACUCACCCUUUGGCGACAUACUGAACUCGCUAAGUCUCUCUCCUUAUCAGGAGGAUCCUGUCCGAACUAUGUUCGGCAGGACUGGGAUGCGGACGACGAAGAAAUUCACGACCCACCCACCACCCACUUAG